This 314-nucleotide ribosomal RNA is filed under the name Humboldtiana pilsbryi. RNAcentral describes it as "partial 16S ribosomal RNA". Lineage: Eukaryota; Metazoa; Mollusca; Gastropoda; Stylommatophora; Humboldtianidae. The record is from RNAcentral.
GUACUGAUCUGUGCCGAUUGAUAUUGACUGAGCCGGUGAAAAUUCCCACGUAGUAACAAGUACGCAAGAAGACCCUAGAAAUUUUUUAUAAAGUAUAAUAUUAAUACUAUUAUUUUGUUGGGGCGACAGAAUAACAAUUAAACUUAUUUUAUUAUAAUAAGAAUUUUUUAUAAUGAAAAACAAAAUUACUCUAGGGAUAACAGCAUAAUUAUAUAAUAGUUUGUGACCUCGAUGUUGGACUAAGGAAGAUUUUACUCAGAAGGUAAAAUAGUGUGUUCUGUUCGAACAAAUAACCCUUACAUGAUCUGAGUUAG